GUGACCACAGUCCGUUAUGGUUCUGACGUCAUCAUCGAGGUAAUGGGAAGUCGGUGCAAUUCCGGCGCGGUCCCGCCACUGUGAGGUCGUCCAUGCGUCGACCGUAGCCAGAUACCACCCUCGUUGACGUUGUGUCA
RNAcentral lists this non-coding RNA (137 nucleotides) under Rhodococcus erythropolis. Lineage: Bacteria; Bacillati; Actinomycetota; Actinomycetes; Mycobacteriales; Nocardiaceae. The record is from RNAcentral.